This 158-nucleotide unclassified non-coding RNA is filed under the name Trypethelium eluteriae. RNAcentral describes it as "ITS1". Lineage: Eukaryota; Fungi; Ascomycota; Dothideomycetes; Trypetheliales; Trypetheliaceae. The record is from RNAcentral.
CCGAGUUUAAGGGUAGCUUCGGCUGCUCUGACUUCCCAACCCUAUGAUUUGAUGUUUUUCUCAUGUAUCUUCCGGUCUCUGUUCCGACAUGCCGGAAGAUUACCAAUCAAACUCGUCUUGAAACUAUGUCGUCAUCAUUCAAUACCAUAAUUGAAUCA